This 433-nucleotide ribosomal RNA is filed under the name uncultured bacterium. RNAcentral describes it as "partial 16S ribosomal RNA". It matches the Rfam family "Bacterial small subunit ribosomal RNA", at positions 29 to 507 of the family's 1533-position model. The record is from RNAcentral.
AACGAACGCUGGCGGCAUGCCUAACACAUGCAAGUCGAACGAGCAUUUCGGGAUUUGUGGCGCACGGGUGCGUAACACACGGGAAACUGUACUUAGCUUUGGAGUAAAUCCCUGAGAAACGUGCUCUUAUAGGAUAUUCUCUUCGGUCCAAAGAUUUAUAGCCUUUGAAUGUGCCCGCGUUGGAUUAGCUAGUUGGUAGGGUAAAAGCCUACCACGGCGACGAUCAAUAGCUGGUCUGAGAGGAUGAUCAGCCACACUGGGACUGAGACACGGCCCAGACUCCUACGGGAGGCAGCAGUGGGGAAUAUUGGACAAUGGGCGAAAGCCUGAUCCAGCAAUGCCGCGUGAGUGAUGAAGGCCUUAGGGUUGUAAAGCUCUUUUACCCGGGAUGAUAAUGACAGUACCGGAAGAAUAAGCUCCGGCUAACUCCGUG